ACAUUGGGCGGUCGAGAAUGAAAUGGUGGGGGCCCUAUUUUGGGCCCCACAAUCACUCGUCUUUUUUAAUUGAACAAGAAACCUUAUCAUAAAAUCAUGUACAUUUCACAAUCAAUCAACCGUCCAAGCCCAUGGGGAUGCCAAAAAUCACGACCACUUUCUUUACUUCUUGCUGCUGCUGCUUGGGUUGUUCUUGUUCGUUUCACUGCUUGCUUGCUGUGAUGGUAUAGUACAGUGCUAUGGUUGUGCAGUGGUAUUAUUGACCGACGUGGGAUCCAUUUUUACUGUGGAAAGGCAUGCUCUGGACCCAUUUUUACAUGUUGGGUUGGCUAGGUGUGGACCCUGACCCAGCUCCAGCUUAAUAGGUAUUGGACCUAUCGGUGUUCAGAUCAGUAUCCUAUGCUCCCGUUUGGCUGGCUACUACAUGUUGUUGCCCGCACAGUAUAUUUUUUUGGGAUAUUUAGUUUAUCACACUUACUUAUAGAUUGGACUCGAUAGACAGCCUGCGCGUUGCGAUAUGAAUAAAACAAAAUAAAGUAAAAAAAAUCAUGUUCAGACACACCUAAUGUGUUUUCUUUAAACAAGAAAAAUCUAAUAGAU
This 600-nucleotide long non-coding RNA is filed under the name Populus tremula. Its description in RNAcentral is "long non-coding RNA (PTRE_LNC002096)". Lineage: Eukaryota; Viridiplantae; Streptophyta; Magnoliopsida; Malpighiales; Salicaceae. The record is from RNAcentral.